RNAcentral lists this ribosomal RNA (440 nucleotides) under uncultured bacterium. Its description in RNAcentral is "partial 16S ribosomal RNA". It matches the Rfam family "Bacterial small subunit ribosomal RNA", at positions 338 to 795 of the family's 1533-position model. The record is from RNAcentral.
CCUACGGGAGGCUGCAGUAGGGAAUAUUGCUCAAUGGGGGAAACCCUGAAGCAGCAACGCCGCGUGGAGGAUGAAGGUUUUCGGAUUGUAAACUCCUUUUGUUAGAGAAGAUAAUGACGGUAUCUAACGAAUAAGCACCGGCUAACUCCGUGCCAGCAGCCGCGGUAAUACGGAGGGUGCAAGCGUUACUCGGAAUCACUGGGCGUAAAGAGCGCGUAGGCGGGAUAGCAGGGCAGAUGUGAAAUCCUAGGGCUUAACCAUAGAACUGCAUUUGAAACUGUUAUUCUAGAGUAUGGGAGAGGUAGGUGGAAUUCUUGGUGUAGGGGUAAAAUCCGUAGAGAUCAAGAGGAAUACUCAUUGCGAAGGCGACCUGCUAGAACAUAACUGACGCUGAUGCGCGAAAGCGUGGGGAGCAAACAGGAUUAGAUACCCCAGUAGUC